UUUAUUCAACGUUAUGUCCAAUUUAAUUUUCUAUAUUCUUGCAGCAGUUUAAAGUAAGAUUUACCAAACACAUACAACUACUUUUAAAACUCUCAGAACUUUUAAACAAAUUUUACUAAAUAUUUAAUUGAUUCUCUUGACAGUUGAUUAUUUCUAUAGCAUAGCUAACAACAAUUAUUUUAAAAGAUACAAUAUUACCAAACAAGCCCAAAGUCCUAGUAUCAACUCGAUUUAAACGCAAUAACCCAUGAAGGACUACCUAAUAUUUCAGUUUUAUGACAAUAAGCAUGUUCUAAUGAACCGAUUAUUUACGUUACUAUGUAAUAUAUAUGCUCCUUUUUUUUUCAUAUUAUAAUAAUAUGGAAACAACAAAGUUAAUGAACCAAUUAUUUAUGAACCAAUUCGUUUAAUGAACCAAUUAUUUAUGUUAAUAUGUAAUAUAUAUGCUGUGCAAUUCGUUUUAUUUUUUCAUGUUAUAAUAACAUGGAAACAACAAACUUUACUAACGCAGCUGACAAUACGUGAGAACUAUGAAACUGAGUGGGCAAAGAAUAAAAUUUACCUAGAUAAAGUUCAUUUACUCAAUAUUCAAUGCUUGGGGUCCAGGACCUCCAUAAUUCCAAUCCUCUGUACAUAUAUUGCUCAUGGAUAUAUCAAUUAUCAGCAUAUAAUUUGAAUUAUUCUUUUGAAUUGGAGUUAAGAAUUAUUCCUGUUAAUUACAUGGUACAUAUUCAUAUUCAUUUGGGUUUUGCUCCAAAAUGGGACAAGCUCAGUUGAUACACAUCCCAAGUCUUAUAAAAUCUGAGGUAAAUAAUAUUUGUUUUUUUACUUGUCAUUCAAUAUGUUAAAACACAUGUACUUUCUCUUUUUCUUGUUUGUCUAUUGAAGUCUUAUAAAACUAAAUUAACUAUUUUAUCCUAUGGCUUUAUAUUUCAAUUCUUAUAACUUUUGUUACCAUAUGGCUUUAGUUUAAAUAUUUGUCGAGAUCUUGCGCAUAGCUGCCAUUGCUGAAUCUCGAAAGGAGAAGAUGAUGAAGGCAGAAAACUAAGGAAAGUGGAUUAGGAGAAAAUAAUAAUAAUAAUAAUAAUAAUAAUAAUAAUAAUAAUAGUGAAUGAAAGAGAAGACUUGGAUUUGUUUAUGAAAAUUUGCUAUUUUACUUUUCUAAUUUAAGACAUUGUUUUUCUAAAACGAUUUUCUCUUGUCUCAAGAAUUUCAAAAAAUUUAAGAAAAAAAUGAGAUUAGAAGAAGAUCCGAAUUCAAAUUGAUUAAAAAAAAAAACCAUCUCCGUACAUAGGCUAAAUCACAGUAUUUAAACUACAGUGUGGUGUUGAAUUAUAUUUAUAAAGUAGCGGAUUUUCUAUUUCCCCCGCUAUAGUAGCAUAGCUAGACUUAAUAUCUAUUGGAGGUAAAUCUAGUUUACUUAGACGAAUUUGAUUUUCCUCAAAUAUUUUUAUUUAAUUUUAGAUUUAACAUACACAUUUAAAAUAAUUUUGGCGAAGAAAAUAUAAGAGCUUAUUUUUUUCAUUUUAUUUAAAGUCGAUUUAAAAAAUUUGUUAUUAGGGAAAAUAAAAUUUUGUGAUUAAAGAUUUUCUAGAAAAAAAAAGACUAGCAGGUCAAUAUGUGCGCCUCCUCUACUGCCCCCUGGCUACGCAUCCUACCCAGCCGUGGACUUUCCAAUUCAUCCGGGGAUCUAGCCUCAAAUUCUGUCUAGCUAGACUCCCAAGUGAUGAGUAAAGAUAAAAGUUGAAAAAAUAAAAGAAAAAUUAUCAUUGUACCACAUUUUUUUGUCAUAUAUUCAUCCAACCAUUACAAAAUUCUAACAUGUUCUCUACACCACUUUUCUUUUUAAAUUUAUAUCAAUUAACCAUUUUUGCACUAACAUUGUUAAAUAAUUUUUAAAAAAUGAUAAUUUUACCCCUAAAUAUAUCAAAAGAGCAUUUUAUUUUAUAAAAACUUUGAAAAUAAAAAAUUA
Molecule: long non-coding RNA, 1972 nt
Filed under: Citrus x clementina
Lineage: Eukaryota; Viridiplantae; Streptophyta; Magnoliopsida; Sapindales; Rutaceae
Description: Citrus clementina (C. clementina) long non-coding RNA (CCLE_LNC005561)
Source: RNAcentral